GUUUGAGGGAUCACAGGUAUGUUUUGUGACUGUAUGAAAAAGAUAAUAUUUGAUUUUUCAUACCUAUUGGCUAAAGGCGUCCAGCCAGGUUAGCUGAAUGAUGUCCACUUGGAAAACAAAGCUGGCUGGGGGAACAUGGGCCUUGACCUAAGCCAUUUGUGAGGAUAGUCAACACAUCCAGGCUCCUGGGUCUCUGUUCAUCUUUCCCCAGGAAGCU
RNAcentral lists this long non-coding RNA (217 nucleotides) under Bos taurus (domestic cattle). Its description in RNAcentral is "long non-coding RNA NONBTAT007531". Lineage: Eukaryota; Metazoa; Chordata; Mammalia; Artiodactyla; Bovidae. The record is from RNAcentral.